CCUGGUGGCGCUGAUGGUAAAGAAUCUGCCUGCAAUGCAGGAGACCUGGGUUUGAUCCCUGUGUCAGGA
RNAcentral lists this transfer RNA (69 nucleotides) under Ovis aries (sheep). It matches the Rfam family "tRNA". From Rfam's summary of the family: Transfer RNA (tRNA) molecules are approximately 80 nucleotides in length. Their secondary structure includes four short double-helical elements and three loops (D, anti-codon, and T loops). Lineage: Eukaryota; Metazoa; Chordata; Mammalia; Artiodactyla; Bovidae. The record is from Rfam by way of RNAcentral.